RNAcentral lists this ribosomal RNA (250 nucleotides) under uncultured bacterium. RNAcentral's name for it is "partial 16S ribosomal RNA". It matches the Rfam family "Bacterial small subunit ribosomal RNA", at positions 525 to 775 of the family's 1533-position model. The record is from RNAcentral.
ACGUAGGGGGCAAGCGUUAUCCGGAUUCAUUGGGCGUAAAGCGCUCGUAGGCGGUCUGUUAGGUCGGGAGUUAAAUCCGGGGGCUCAACCCCCGCUCGCUCCCGAUACCGGCAGACUUGAGUUUGGUAGGGGAAGGUGGAAUUCCUAGUGUAGCGGUGGAAUGCGCAGAUAUUAGGAAGAACACCAGUGGCGAAGGCGGCCUUCUGGGCCAUAACUGACGCUGAGGAGCGAAAGCUAGGGGAGCAAACAG